RNAcentral lists this transfer RNA (84 nucleotides) under Candidatus Yonathbacteria bacterium RIFOXYC1_FULL_52_10. Its description in RNAcentral is "tRNA-Leu". It matches the Rfam family "tRNA". Rfam says of the family: Transfer RNA (tRNA) molecules are approximately 80 nucleotides in length. Their secondary structure includes four short double-helical elements and three loops (D, anti-codon, and T loops). Lineage: Bacteria; Candidatus Yonathiibacteriota. The record is from RNAcentral.
GCCGGAGUGGUGGAAUGGUAGACACGCACGACUCAAAAUCGUGUGAGGCAACUCAUGGGGGUUCAAGUCCCCCCUCCGGCACCG